Molecule: long non-coding RNA, 975 nt
Filed under: Marmota monax (woodchuck)
Lineage: Eukaryota; Metazoa; Chordata; Mammalia; Rodentia; Sciuridae
Source: RNAcentral
UUAUAAUCUACAAGCUCUCCUACUUAUCUGGUUCCACAGUAGGAAGUUAGAGAAGCGUGUGUUUGUCAUUUCAUGGUGAUUUAUUAUGCCUCUGCUAAGUACAUUUGAAAUAACAGGCUGCGCUAUAACACUCAACCCUUGAUAAAGGGUGAUUUCUAAUCACAGUGAACCAGGGGAAGACUGUAGUCUAAAAGUAAGGAAGCUAUGUCCAUCAGAUGGUUAGUGCCCAAGUUCCAGAGAAACAUAGUGUCCUCUUUCAUAACUGAGCGAUGCCUCUAUUACAUACUGUUAGGACCUAAUUAUUGAUAAAAUCAAGACUUUUCCAUAUCUAGCCACAUUUAAUUUCUCAAGACAGUCCAAAAGAUCAUGAGUCAAAAUUCUUUGCUUCUUGCCAAUCACCUAAGAUAAAAACUAAACUGGAGAGUUGACCUCCUUUCUAGUAAAGGACAACAGUGACAAAAAUACUUGGAAAAGCAACUAAUUUACUUUCUGGUGCCUUAUAAUCCCUCUCCUCCCUUGCCCUCAGCGACUAAUUUUUUAAAGAAUAAAUAUUUUAAAGCCAACAAAAUAAUGUUUCAAUAAAAUGCUCAAAAAUCAUGAUUGGACAACGUGGAUUCUUCAGCAAAUACGACAGAACAACACAAUGGGAGGAUGAACAAAAAAUUGAAUAGAUUUUAUUUGAAUUUACCUUUGGUCUAGGGAUCCAAAUGUGGUAUAACUGGAAGAGACAGACUAUUUUUAGAGAGAUAAAGCAUUUUUUAAAAAAUCUGACAAAAUUUCCCUUGAAAGACUUCUCCCCCCAGUGCUGGGAUGCAGGUGAGUAGAAGUGGCGAUGCAGCUACUGCAAACAUCAUGGGACAAAGGCUCAAGAGGCUGAAGGCCAAGUACAAGCAACUAACUCUGAAUUCUUCAGAAAGAAUUGUGACAGGCCCCAUGAGUGAAGAGAAUUUUUUUGAAUGAGAGGCAUGGAUCAUG